This 500-nucleotide ribosomal RNA is filed under the name uncultured bacterium. RNAcentral describes it as "partial 16S ribosomal RNA". It matches the Rfam family "Bacterial small subunit ribosomal RNA", at positions 30 to 523 of the family's 1533-position model. The record is from RNAcentral.
AUUGAACGCUGGCGGAAUGCUCUACACAUGCAAGUCGAACGAUGAACCUUAGCUUGCUAAGGGAAUUAGUGGCGAACGGGUGAGUAAUGUAUCGGAACGUAUCCAAUAAUGGGGGAUAACUAGUCGAAAGAUUAGCUAAUACCGCAUACGUCCUACGGGAGAAAGCUAGGGACCUUCGGGCCUGGCGUUAAUGGAGCGGCCGAUAUCUGAUUAGCUAGUUGGUGGGGUAAAGGCUCACCAAGGCGACGAUCAGUAGCUGGGCUGAGAGGACUACCAGCCACACUGGAGCUGAGACACGGUCCAGACUCCUACGGGAGGCAGCAGUGGGGAAUUUUGGACAAUGGGCGCAAGCCUGAUCCAGCCAUUCCGCGUGAGUGAAGAAGGCCUUCGGGUUGUAAAGCUCUUUCGCAAGGGAAGAAAACUUAAGCUCUAACAUAGCUUGAGGUUGACGGUACCUUGAUAAGAAGCACCGGCUAACUACGUGCCAGCCGCCGCAGUAA